RNAcentral lists this ribosomal RNA (444 nucleotides) under uncultured bacterium. Its description in RNAcentral is "partial 16S ribosomal RNA". It matches the Rfam family "Bacterial small subunit ribosomal RNA", at positions 338 to 795 of the family's 1533-position model. The record is from RNAcentral.
CCUACGGGAGGCAGCAGUGGGGGAUAUUGGACAAUGGGGGGAACCCUGAUCCAGCGACGCCGCGUGAGUGAAGAAGUAUUUCGGUAUGUAAAGCUCUGUCAGCAGGGAAGAAAGAAAUGACGGUACCUGACCAAGAAGCCCCGGCUAACUACGUGCCAGCAGCCGCGGUAAUACGUAGGGAGCAAGCGUUGUUCGGAAUGACUGGGCGUAAAGGGUGCGUAGGCGGUUAUACAAGUUAGAAGUGAAAUACCCAGGGCUUAACUCGGGUGCUGCUUCUAAAACUGUAAGACUUGAGUGCAGUAGAGGUUAGUGGAAUUCCUAGGGUAGCGGUGGAAUGCGUAGAUAUUAGGAGGAACACCAGAGGCGAAGGCGGCUAACUGGACUGCAACUGACGCUGAGGCACGAAAGUGUGGGGAGCAAACAGGAUUAGAUACCCCUGUAGUC